Molecule: ribosomal RNA, 408 nt
Filed under: Triticum aestivum (bread wheat)
Lineage: Eukaryota; Viridiplantae; Streptophyta; Magnoliopsida; Poales; Poaceae
Description: partial small subunit ribosomal RNA
Source: RNAcentral
AUGGCCCCCAAGGCUGCUGAGAAGAAGCCAGUGGAGAAGACCCCCGCGGGCAAGAAGCCCAAGGCGGAGAAGAAGGUGCCGGCGUCCAAGGAGGGCGGCGACAAGAAGGGGAAGAAGAAGGCCAAGAAAAGCGUGGAGACGUACAAGAUCUACAUCUUCAAGGUGCUCAAGCAGGUGCACCCCGACAUCGGCAUCUCCUCCAAGGCCAUGUCCAUCAUGAACUCCUUCAUCAACGACAUCUUUGAGAAGCUCGCCGGUGAGUCCGCCAAGCUCGCGCGCUACAACAAGAAGCCCACCAUCACGUCCCGCGAGAUCCAGACCUCCGUCCGCCUCGUCCUCCCUGGCGAGCUCGCCAAGCACGCCGUCUCCGAGGGCACCAAGGCCGUCACCAAGUUCACCUCGUCCUAG